GCAGUGCCUCAACACCGAAGAGGAGCUUCAAACGGCAUAGCAAUGACAUUACAGUCUCUUUUCAGAGCCGUGGCUCCAGCAUCUGCGGGUAUUAUAUUUUCAUGGGCACAAAGGCGCCAACAUGCUUCUUUCCUCCCAGGGGACCAAAUAGUAUUUUUCUUCUUGAAUGUGCUCGGGGUCAUCGCAUUGAUCAUGUGCUUUAAACCAUUCUUGGCAUUCCCUCCCAAAUGAAUUACAACAGAGCAACCAUGCAUAUGAUGAGAAGUGCUCAGUUGAAUAGGCGAGAAGCUGUCAUGCAAGCAAAAGGAUUAUUCCCUUUUUUAUCAAGUAAUAUGUCGCAUUACCGCAAUUCGAA
This 355-nucleotide unclassified non-coding RNA is filed under the name Hevea brasiliensis (rubber tree). Lineage: Eukaryota; Viridiplantae; Streptophyta; Magnoliopsida; Malpighiales; Euphorbiaceae. The record is from RNAcentral.